This 280-nucleotide long non-coding RNA is filed under the name Gallus gallus (chicken). Its description in RNAcentral is "long non-coding RNA NONGGAT007999". The record is from RNAcentral. Lineage: Eukaryota; Metazoa; Chordata; Aves; Galliformes; Phasianidae.
AACUACCAAGAGGCAGCUCUGCCCAGCGUCUUUUCAAAGAUGUAGGCCCUUUGUGCUCUGUGUUUAGUGGGAGGUCACCAGUGGAGCCACGCUGCCUUGGUGCACAUAACACAAGACCCUGUGACUUACAGCUAAAUGAACAGGAGGCCAAGCUUUACCAUCUCUCCUCUAUCCGACAAAUACUAGAAGCCUUCCACCUCCAAGAAUAAACCUUAAGACACAUCGCUGGCAAUUCAGGUAUGUGCUCUGAAAUAUACACUGGUUGGGAUGUGACUCUGAG